RNAcentral lists this ribosomal RNA (504 nucleotides) under uncultured Actinomycetes bacterium. Its description in RNAcentral is "bacterial SSU rRNA". It matches the Rfam family "Bacterial small subunit ribosomal RNA", at positions 8 to 522 of the family's 1533-position model. The record is from RNAcentral. Lineage: Bacteria; Bacillati; Actinomycetota; Actinomycetes.
AGAGUUUGAUCAUGGCUCAGGACGAACGCUGGCGGCGCGCCUAACACAUGCAAGUCGAACGGUGAACGGAGCUUCGGCUCCGGGAUCAGUGGCGAACGGGUGCGUAACACGUGGGCAACCUGCCCCAGACCCUGGGAUAACCCCGGGAAACCGGAGCUAAUACCGGAUACUCCGGCCGAACCGCAUGGCUCGGCCGGGAAAGGUCCGCCGGUCUGGGAUGGGCCCGCGGCCUAUCAGCUUGUUGGUGAGGUAACGGCUCACCAAGGCGACGACGGGUAGCUGGUCUGAGAGGACGACCAGCCACACUGGGACUGAGAUACGGCCCAGACUCCUACGGGAGGCAGCAGUGGGGAAUCUUGCACAAUGGGCGAAAGCCUGAUGCAGCGACGCCGCGUGAGGGAUGAAGGCCUUCGGGUCGUAAACCUCUUUCGGCAGGGACGAAGCGAUCUCGUGACGGUACCUGCAGAAGAAGCCUCGGCUAACUACGUGCCAGCAGCCGCGGUA